AUGAACGCUGGCGGCGUGCCUAAUACAUGCAAGUCGAGCGAACAGACGAGGAGCUUGCUCCUCUGACGUUAGCGGCGGACGGGUGAGUAACACGUGGAUAACCUACCUAUAAGACUGGGAUAACUUCGGGAAACCGGAGCUAAUACCGAAUAAUAUAUUGAACCGCAUGGUUCAAUAGUGAAAGACGGUUUUGCUGUCACUUAUAGAUGGAUCCGCGCCGCAUUAGCUAGUUGGUAAGGUAACGGCUUACCAAGGCGACGAUGCGUAGCCGACCUGAGAGGGUGAUCGGCCACACUGGAACUGAGACACGGUCCAGACUCCUACGGGAGGCAGCAGUAGGGAAUCUUCCGCAAUGGGCGAAAGCCUGACGGAACAACGCCGCGUGAGUGAUGAAGGUCUUCGGAUCGUAAAACUCUGUUAUUAGGGAAGAACAAAUGUGUAAGUAACUAUGCACGUCUUGACGGUACCUAAUCAGAAAGCCACGGCUAACUACGUG
Molecule: ribosomal RNA, 496 nt
Filed under: uncultured bacterium
Lineage: Bacteria
Description: partial 16S ribosomal RNA
Rfam family: Bacterial small subunit ribosomal RNA
Source: RNAcentral